This 624-nucleotide ribosomal RNA is filed under the name Skeletonema marinoi. RNAcentral describes it as "partial Eukaryotic large subunit ribosomal RNA". It matches the Rfam family "Eukaryotic large subunit ribosomal RNA", at positions 1595 to 2228 of the family's 3401-position model. The record is from RNAcentral. Lineage: Eukaryota; Bacillariophyta; Thalassiosirophyceae; Thalassiosirales; Thalassiosiraceae.
CAACAGGGAAAUGUAUCGUGUUUACCAUAUCUGGUCUGCCAUUGCACCUGGUAACGGAGGGUGUGUCAGGUACGUCAUUGUGUGGGAUGUGAGGUGUUGUCUUUACUUCUUAACUGUGGGUAAGCCUGGAAGUGUGCCAAACAGAGAUAGGUGCUUCGCACAGAAAGUAGACCCCGCAUUACGGUGUUUGCGAUCUUCACACAAUGACGCCUCAAAAUCUGACGCGCCAUAUGCAGUGCAGCAGGUUGUACUAAUAUCCGCAUCAGGUCUCUAAGGUGAGUAGCCUCUGGUACGUAGAUUCAUGUGAGUAAGGGAAGUCGGCAACUUGGUUCCGUAUCCUUGGGAAAAGGAAUGGCUCUGACGAUUGAGCGGUAAGGUCUCUGCGCAGAGUACCAGACAGAUGCGCGCGCUGCGAUGUUCUUCACCGGAUAUCAUGGCGAGCAGCAAAUGCCUUGUGAAUGUGUAGUGAUAGGAUCUUCCGGCUUGCCGCAACGAACAAUUACCUCAGAACCGAUACGAUCAAGGGGAAUCCGACUGUUUAAUCAAAACAAAGCAUUACGAUUCUCAUAGCUGGGUUUGACGUAAUGUGAUUUCUGCCCAGUGCUCUGAAUGUCAAGGUGAUGA